UCAGUGAUUCGUAUGCUUCGUUUAGUCAGAAGCGCAUGUGCGUUGCCUGUUAUCGUCUUGCAUCAGUUACUCUGUUGGUAUUAGUUUUGUAUGUGUCUUCUUGGAACGUCAUCAUCAGUAAAAAAGCCAGGCUGUCCCAAGAGAUCGUGAGUGGCGAAAUAUGAGUGGUUUUCCAUCUCUGCAUUAAUCCUCGUCCGACCCUGGUGAGCAGUUAUAGUCAAAUGUCAAAGAAAUGGUCAUAAAUCGUGAUUAACCUGGUGUAAGCCCCAACAACCUUCUUUGGCAUGAGUGACUAAAAACAAUCCAAAAAUGAGUCGAUAUUCCGGACGUCUUUUUUCAAAAAGGUAAGUUUGAUUCGUAACAAACGUAUGCAACACCUUUGCAUUUAGAAAUAAUUUUAGUUUGUAAUAUUUAUCAGCCCCUACAAUUUUUGUAAAUAAGCACUAAAAUUUUUCCCAACCCCUACAGUAACUAAGAUCUUGUACUAUAAAUAAGGCUACCCUGUGUGUAUGGACGUUAUAUAAGUAAACAAUUUUAAUAAAUUAUUAAUUUAUACGGUUUGUUGGAAGUAAGGACAAAAUGUACGUCAUUUUCAUUAAACAUUUAACCUUUUCUGUUUGUUGCGUCAAAUAAUUAAUUAACAGCACCUUUUUAAAUUUUUAAUUAGUACAUCAAGAAAAAUUGCAAAAGAAGUGCGUUCGUUUUUCUAAAUGUAAUUGCAUUUGAAACAAUUUCAAUUGCAAAGUUAUUGAAAUACGUGUCUCGAAACAAUUAUAUUUUUGCUAGCUGUUUAUCUUUGGAGGU
Long non-coding RNA from Agrilus planipennis (emerald ash borer), 804 nucleotides. RefSeq lists it as uncharacterized. The transcript is spliced from 3 exons. NCBI's taxonomy places the organism in Eukaryota, Metazoa, Arthropoda, Insecta, Coleoptera, Buprestidae. The record is from RefSeq and is a predicted model, not a curated record.